GCCAGGUGCAGUGGCACACACCUAUAAUCCCCGCAGCUCUGGAGGCUGAGGCAGGAGAUUUCGAGUUCAAAGCCAGCCUCUUUGAACUAAAGAUCUCUUGCCUCAG
This 106-nucleotide small RNA is filed under the name Marmota monax (woodchuck). Lineage: Eukaryota; Metazoa; Chordata; Mammalia; Rodentia; Sciuridae. The record is from RNAcentral.